UUAGGUUUGUAGGAUCUAUUUCCCCUGUAAGAAGUGUGUUAAUGGCACGCUACAAGUUAUGUACACAGUAAAAAAAUAACUAGGCUUCAAGUUCUCUGAAGCGUCAAGAUCUAAAACUAAAUCUAAAAGUUGAGUUUCUAACUAAUUCAAGAAGAAAGAGAUAGCAGAGACAUACAGGGAAUCAAGCAUAUAGAGGAA
Molecule: non-coding RNA, 198 nt
Organism: Arabidopsis thaliana (thale cress)
Lineage: Eukaryota; Viridiplantae; Streptophyta; Magnoliopsida; Brassicales; Brassicaceae
Product: other RNA
Exons: 1
Source: RefSeq